GUAGGGAAUAUUGCGCAAUGGACGAAAGUCUGACGCAGCGACGCCGCGUGAGUGAUGAAGGCCUUAGGGUCGUAAAGCUCUGUUGAAUGGGAAGAAAAAAAUGACGGUACCAUUCGAGGAAGGACCGACUAACUUCGUGCCAGCAGCCGCGGUAAUACGAGGGGUCCUAGCGUUGUUCGGAAUCAUUGGGCGUAAAGGGUGUGUAGGUGGCCAUGUAAGUCAGGUGUGAAAGCCCCGGGCUCAACCCGGGAAGUGCACUUGAUACUGCGUAGCUUGAGUACCGAAGAGGGUAGUGGAAUUCCAGGUGUAGUGGUGAAAUACGUAGAUAUCUGGAGGAACACCGGUGGCGAAGGCGGCUACCUGGUCGAGUACUGACACUGAGACACGAAAGCAUGGGGAUCAAACAGGAUUAGAUACCCGUGUAGUCC
RNAcentral lists this ribosomal RNA (428 nucleotides) under uncultured bacterium. Its description in RNAcentral is "partial 16S ribosomal RNA". It matches the Rfam family "Bacterial small subunit ribosomal RNA", at positions 354 to 796 of the family's 1533-position model. The record is from RNAcentral.